GAUUUCUGGUGUGGUGCGCCGAGCCCGCCGCCGCUAGGCGGUGAGUGCUUGCGUGCGCCUACCAUCCUUCCGGAAAGUGCGCUCUACCCUUAACUGGGCCGGAGCGUACGAUCUGGAUCUUUUACUUUGAAAAAAUUAGAGUGUUUAAAGCAGGCGUUUGUUAUGAAUACAUUAGCAUGGAAUAAUAAGAUAGGACUUUGGUUCUAUUUUGUUGGUUUCUAGGACUGAAGUAAUGAUUGAUAGGGACAGUUGGGGGUGCUAGUAUUUAACGGCCAGAGGUGAAAUUCUUGGAUUCGUUAAAGACUAACUUAUGCGAAAGCAUU
Molecule: ribosomal RNA, 323 nt
Filed under: Protaspa sp.
Lineage: Eukaryota; Cercozoa; Thecofilosea; Cryomonadida; Protaspidae
Description: SSU rRNA
Rfam family: Eukaryotic small subunit ribosomal RNA (bases 82-323)
Source: RNAcentral